ACGACGUCCGAGGGGUGUCCGGUUUCCGCAAGGGGCCGGGCUGAGACAGCCGGCCGGCUGAACCCUUUGAACCUGAUCCGGAUCAUGCCGGCGAAGGAACGGGAGUUCGUCGAGUG
This 116-nucleotide non-coding RNA is filed under the name Alphaproteobacteria bacterium. RNAcentral describes it as "TPP sequence". It matches the Rfam family "TPP riboswitch aptamer (THI element)". Rfam says of the family: Vitamin B(1) in its active form thiamin pyrophosphate (TPP) is an essential coenzyme that is synthesised by coupling of pyrimidine and thiazole moieties in bacteria. The previously detected thiamin-regulatory element, thi box was extended, resulting in a new, highly conserved RNA secondary structure, the THI element, which is widely distributed in eubacteria and also occurs in some archaea. The record is from RNAcentral. Lineage: Bacteria; Pseudomonadati; Pseudomonadota; Alphaproteobacteria.